CUACGGGGGGCAGCAGUGGGGAAUAUUGGACAAUGGGGGAAACCCUGAUCCAGCAAUGCCGCGUGUGUGAAGAAGGCCUGCGGGUUGUAAAGCACUUUCGGUUGGGAGGACUGCUUCUAGCACUAAUAUUGUUGGAAGUUGACGUUACCUUCAGAAGAAGCACCGGCUAACUCCGUGCCAGCAGCCGCGGUAAUACGGGAGGGUGCAAGCGUGAAUCGGAAUUACUGGGCGUAAAGCGCGCGUAGGCGGCUAGAUCAGUCGGGUGUGAAAGCCCCGGGCUUAACCUGGGAACUGCAUCCGAUAAGGUCUAGCUUGAGGACAGGAGAGGAGAGUGGAAUUCCACAUGUAGCGGUGAAAUGCGUAGAUAUGUGGAGGAACACCAAUGGCGAAGGCAGCUCUCUGGCCUGAUACUGACGCUGAGGUGCGAAAGCGUGGGGAGCAAACAGGAUUAGAUACCCUCGUAGUC
This 466-nucleotide ribosomal RNA is filed under the name uncultured bacterium. Its description in RNAcentral is "partial 16S ribosomal RNA". It matches the Rfam family "Bacterial small subunit ribosomal RNA", at positions 339 to 795 of the family's 1533-position model. The record is from RNAcentral.